CCUACGGGAGACAGCAGUGAGGAAUAUUGGUCAAUGGGCGCGAGCCUGAACCAGCCAAGUAGCGUGAAGGAUGACUGCCCUACGGGUUGUAAACUUCUUUUAUAAAGGAAUACAGUGAGGCACGUGUGCCUUUUUGUAUGUACUUUAUGAAUAAGGAUCGGCUAACUCCUUGCCAGCAGCCGCGGUAAUACUGAGGAUCCGAUCGUUAUCCGGAUUGAUUGGGUUUAAAGGGAGCGUAAAUGGGUUGUUAAGUCAAUUGUGAAAGUUUGCGGCGCAACCGUAAAAUUGCAAUUGAUACUGGCAGUCUUGAGUACAGUUGAGGUAGGCGGAAUUCGUGGUGUAGCGGUGAAAUGCUUAGAUAUCACGAAGAACUCCGAUUGCGAAGGCAGCUUACUAAACUGCCACUGACAUUGAUGCUCGAAAGUGUGGGUAUCAAACAGGAUUAGAUACCCUUGUAGUC
RNAcentral lists this ribosomal RNA (460 nucleotides) under uncultured bacterium. Its description in RNAcentral is "partial 16S ribosomal RNA". It matches the Rfam family "Bacterial small subunit ribosomal RNA", at positions 338 to 795 of the family's 1533-position model. The record is from RNAcentral.